GUGAACGCUGGCGGCAGGCCUCACACAUGCAAGUCGAACGGCAGCACAAGAGAGCUUGCUCUCUGGGUGGCGAGUGGCGGACGGGUGAGGAAUGCAUCGGAAUCUGCCCAUUUGUGGGGGAUAACCUCGGGAAACCGGGACUAAUACCGCAUACGACCUACGGGUGAAAGCAGGGGAUCUUCGGACCUUGCGCAGAUGGAUGAGCCGAUGCCGGAUUAGCUAGUUGGAGGGGUAAAGGCCCACCAAGGCGACGAUCCGUAGCUGGUCUGAGAGGAUGAUCAGCCACACUGGGACUGAGACACGGCCCAGACUCCUACGGGAGGCAGCAGUGGGGAAUAUUGGACAAUGGGCGCAAGCCUGAUCCAGCCAUGCCGCGUGUGUGAAGAAGGCCUUCGGGUUGUAAAGCACUUUUGUUGGGAAAGAAAAGCAGCCGGUUAAUACCCGGUUGUCAUGACGGUACCCAAAGAAUAAGCACCGGCUAACUUCGUG
This 489-nucleotide ribosomal RNA is filed under the name uncultured bacterium. RNAcentral's name for it is "partial 16S ribosomal RNA". It matches the Rfam family "Bacterial small subunit ribosomal RNA", at positions 29 to 507 of the family's 1533-position model. The record is from RNAcentral.